Molecule: ribosomal RNA, 399 nt
Filed under: uncultured bacterium
Lineage: Bacteria
Description: bacterial SSU rRNA
Rfam family: Bacterial small subunit ribosomal RNA
Source: RNAcentral
GAAUAUUGGACAAUGGGCGCAAGCCUGAUCCAGCAAUGCCGCGUGAGUGAAGAAGGCCUUAGGGUUGUAAAGCUCUUUCGUCAGGGAAGAUAAUGACGGUACCUGAAGAAGAAGCCCCGGCUAACUCCGUGCCAGCAGCCGCGGUAAUACGGAGGGGGCAAGCGUUGUUCGGAAUUACUGGGCGUAAAGCGCACGUAGGCGGAUGCACAAGUUGGGGGUGAAAGCCCAGGGCUUAACCCUGGAACUGCCUUCAAGACUGUGCGUCUUGAGUUCAAGAGAGGUAAGGGGAAUUCCUAGUGUAGAGGUGAAAUUCGUAGAUAUUAGGAAGAACACCGGUGGCGAAGGCGCCUUACUGGCUUGAUACUGACGCUGAGGUGCGAAAGCGUGGGGAGCAAACAG